CUGAGAGGGCGACCGGCCAAAUUGGGACUGAGACACGGCCCAAACUCCUACGGGAGGCAGCAGUGGGGAAUAUUGCACAAUGGGGGAAACCCUGAUGCAGCGACGCCGCGUGAAGGAAGAAGUAUUUCGGUAUGUAAACUUCUAUCAGCAAGGAAGAAAAUGACGGUACCUGAGUAAGAAGGCCCGGCUAACUACGUGCCAGCAGC
Molecule: ribosomal RNA, 206 nt
Filed under: uncultured Lachnospiraceae bacterium
Lineage: Bacteria; Bacillati; Bacillota; Clostridia; Lachnospirales; Lachnospiraceae
Description: partial 16S ribosomal RNA
Rfam family: Bacterial small subunit ribosomal RNA
Source: RNAcentral